AGCAGCCGCGGUAAUUCCAGCUCCAAUAGCGUAUAUUAAAGUUGUUGCAGUUAAAAAGCUCGUAGUUGAAUUUCGGGACCAAUAUGUCGGUCGUGCCUCGGUACGCACUGGCUUAUUGGUUUCUCCUUUCUGAAGAACCAUGAUGUCAUCCAUUUGGUGUCGUGGGGAAUCAGGACUGUUACUUUGAAAAAAAUUAGAGUGUUUAAAGCAGGCUCACGCUUGAAUACAUUAGCAUGGAAUAAUGAAAUAGGACGUUUGAUUCUAUUUUGUUGGUUUCUAGGAUCGACGUAAUGAUUAAUAGGGAUAGUUGGGGGCAUUAGUAUUCAAUUGUCAGAGGUGAAAUUCUUGGAUUUAUUGAAGACUAACUACUGCGAAAGCAUUUGCCAAGGAUGUUUUCAUUAAUCAAGAACGAAAGUUAGGGGAUCGAAGACGAUCAGAUACCGUCGUAGUCUUAACCAUAAACUACGCCGACUAGGGAUCGGAUGAUGUUAAUUUUUAAUGACUCAUUCGGCGCCUUAAC
Molecule: ribosomal RNA, 520 nt
Filed under: uncultured Glomus
Lineage: Eukaryota; Fungi; Glomeromycota; Glomeromycetes; Glomerales; Glomeraceae
Description: SSU rRNA
Rfam family: Eukaryotic small subunit ribosomal RNA
Source: RNAcentral